CACAUACACACCCUUUAUAAAACAACCCAAUUAUAAUUCAUUCUGUAUAUGUAAUAAAUAUUAUUAAAUAUAGUAUUACCCUGGAUUAAUAUUUUAUUUAAUUAAUAUGAAGCUUUUUAACAGCUUUGGAAAAUAAAGGUCAUCUGAACAGUCUGAAGUCUUUGGAUGUUUGGAGCUAAUUGGUCAGAAAAAAAAAAGGCUGUCAGUUUUGCUUUCGGUUUGAAGGCGAGGCCGUGACCUGUGCGCCACAUCAGGACAUCCCAUUAAUAACCAGCGAAAUCCGCGAAGCAGCCAACUUAAUUUUUUUCCAAUUGUUAUAGACGUUUUAAGACUGUAACCCCCCCAAACCACACACUUUAUACACUUUUCUCAGACAGGCAUGAACAUUUACACACUUUUCUCUCUUGUUUAAACUCUCAAAGUUCAAACCUUCGUAGAAACAAAUAAGUCCAGUGUUAUAGAAUCAAAGUCACCCGCAGGAGCCUCUGACGCUGCAAAACGUUUCAUCGACAUUGUUGUGUUUGGUGGAGAAAACUUACAAACAUACAGUGCAGCACUUCAGAGUCACGCUGCCAGCGAGGGAAGAUUUAUGUAAAUUUGACAAGCUGAACGCAUUCUGUACUGCACAGGAGACACGGCACGAUUAUUUAUAACGGUCCGCAGCCAAUCAGGACGCAGAACACAAUGCGGGGUUUAAAAAAAAAGAACAAAAAAACAAAAACAAAAAAAUAGCCUAAACAUGGAAAGUUGCACGCGCACACACACAAAAAAAAUCCGCGAGACCGCGUUACAGCGACGGAUGACUGUGCAAACAAAGAACAAACACUUUUUUUUAAAAAUCUCCUAUUCACAAAGACACAUUUAUAACAUUAAUUUAUAAUUUAUAACAUCUAAGCUUCUGGUUGCAGUUCACUCACCACAGCAGACUAACACGCUCAGAGUCAGCCAGAGACAGGCGGACAGUAACGGGUUCAUCCUGGACGAGAGACACAAACUGGCAGAGAGAGAGCGUGGGAAUGAGAUCUGAGUCCUCUGACACUUUAAACAAAAACUUUAUUUUCCCACGAAACGAGUUUAUCUGUUAUCAGCAAGCCCGGACUCGUUAGGUGAGCCAAACACUUUCUAGAUGUGACAGUUACAUCAAACAUAAGGCUCGGGGGCCAGAAUUGGACCCCAAUCUGCCCUGCUGCUUAUGUGAAAAAGGCAUAAAUUUAAGUGUUUUCAUGAGUCGUACAGCUUUUACUAAAGAUGAAAAUCUACCCAACAGGCAUUCAUACUAGACUAUUGUGAACAGACAUACAAACAAGACAUGCUGUGGAAGAGAGCCAAUAAAAAUGCUCCCAGAAGCAGCGUUGCACAAAGCUGCAGACGACAGAAGCAAAAACAUCAGCAGCUGCAGGACAUGAUUCCAGUUGUUUGUCCAGUGAAAGCUCACUGAUACUCUGAGGAGGUCAUAUUGUUUCAC
Long non-coding RNA from Astatotilapia calliptera (eastern happy), 1465 nucleotides. Lineage: Eukaryota; Metazoa; Chordata; Actinopteri; Cichliformes; Cichlidae. The record is from Ensembl.